Scophthalmus maximus (turbot) is the source of this 1414-nucleotide long non-coding RNA. RefSeq lists it as uncharacterized. Lineage: Eukaryota; Metazoa; Chordata; Actinopteri; Pleuronectiformes; Scophthalmidae. The record is from RefSeq and is a predicted model, not a curated record. The transcript has 4 exons.
GUCGCAGCCGAGCUGAAGUCAGAUGUUCGAGGUCCGAGUGAGAGGAUUAAAAGAUGUCGCCUGACUUUACUCGACCAAUCACUGAACUGAACCGUGUUAUAAUCGUCCAACUACGAACGAAGAGGCGGAAGUGUCGUCGGGAGGCUCCAAGGAGAUGAACCGUUUAACAUUCAGGUGCAAUUCUGAGAUCGAGAGCUCAAAAAGAGGCUCGUGGCUGGUUUUCAUUGGAACAGGGGCAGAGCGGGGCCAAACGCCAAGCAACACCAGGCAUCACAAGGCAAUAUAAGGUAACACAAGACAACAGGCAACACAAGACAACCAUCAGGAAACAGGCAACACAUGACAGCAUCAGGCAACAGGCAACAGGCAACACAAGACAAUAUAAGACGUUACUUCCUCGAGGGAAAGACAUGACGAAGUCACUGGUCAGUAGAUCAGCCCACAGAUUCUCAUGCUGAGUCGUGACGGGCGGACUAAAACCAGUUCAUCAUUUUUCCCCGACACCUUUGACACUUUGAGCUCGUAAACCUCCACAGACCAGUGAAGAAGAUAUCACCAGCGCAGACGACAUGGGGUCACUUUGUGAUCACAAACUGCUGACAGAAAAAAAACAAUCUACGUCCACCAGAUUUUCCUGCACGAGGUCGUUGAGAUAAACCUUGGAUUUGGGUCUUUAGUCAAAGCAACAUUGAGUUUUCCAUGAAGAGGAAACAAGAGGACGCAAUUCCCCCGUAACUGUGUCAUCACAUUCCUCAUGUUGGCGUAAAGAAGUUUAAUGAUGCAGGGAAACACUUACGUUAGCUUAGCUUAGCACAAAGAGUGGCAACGGGUGGAAACAGCUAGCCUGGUUCCGUUCUGCCUGAGGCCCCUAAACCUCGGUGAGAGUCGAGUUGUCCUGGUUUGAUGUGCUGUCAGUCCACAUUGUGGGUGAAACGUGCUCCGUCGUCUUGAACCUGACCUGGGGGCAGAUGUACAGUGGAAUAUUUGAGACCUGCGUCGAGAAACGUUAACAUCUGAUCACAUCUGGUGGACCAGGACCUGAAGGUCACCGGUUUGGGAAAAUCCCAGAGAUGGUCGGACAGAGUGAGAAGUUUGUGAAGCGAUUCGACCUUCGAACAAGCACUUCUGAAGAAUCUCGACGACAACAACAACAACAACAACAACAACAACAACAACAGUAGCCUGUCAGGGCGUACUCACGCCCCAGAGAAGAAAACUUGUUAUGAAUUAAGAUUAGAUAAGAUACAACACUUUAGUUACUGCGCUUAAGAGGAAGAGAUCUUUGGACAGAGCUAGGCUAGCAGUUUCCCCCCGCUUUCAGUCUUUAUGCUAAGCUAAGGUGUUUGCUGUUUAGUUUAAUACUUAUUGUACGUACAGUAUAUGAUUGUGAUAUUGAACUUCUCAUCCAACUCUC